GCUGGCUGUAUGCCUAACACAUGCAAGUCGUACGAGAGUUUUUAACUCUAGUGGCGGACGGGUGAGUAACACGUGAGAAUUUGCCUUUAGGAGGGGGACAACAAUUGGAAACGAAUGCUAAUACCCCAUAUGCUUUCGAGUGAAAUGGAUUUAUAUUUAUCCGCCUAGAGAGAAGCUCGCGGCUGAUUAGCUUGUUGGUAAGGUAAGAGCUUACCAAGGCGACGAUCAGUAUCUGGUUUGAGAGGACGAUCAGACACACUGGAACUGAGACACGGUCCAGACUCCUACGGGAGGCAGCAGUGGGGAAUUUUCCGCAAUGGGCGAAAGCCUGACGGAGCAAUACAGCGUGAGGGAAGACUGCCUAUGGGUUGUAAACCUCUUUUUUCAGGGAGGAAUAAAUGACGUGUACCUGAAGAAUAAGCAUCGGCUAACUCCGUGCCAGCAGCCGCGGUAAGACGGAGGAUGCAAGUGUUAUCCGGAAUCACUGGGCGUAAAGCGUCUGUAGGUGGUU
Molecule: ribosomal RNA, 511 nt
Filed under: uncultured cyanobacterium
Lineage: Bacteria; Bacillati; Cyanobacteriota
Description: bacterial SSU rRNA
Rfam family: Bacterial small subunit ribosomal RNA
Source: RNAcentral